RNAcentral lists this ribosomal RNA (439 nucleotides) under uncultured Alphaproteobacteria bacterium. RNAcentral's name for it is "bacterial SSU rRNA". It matches the Rfam family "Bacterial small subunit ribosomal RNA", at positions 9 to 497 of the family's 1533-position model. The record is from RNAcentral. Lineage: Bacteria; Pseudomonadati; Pseudomonadota; Alphaproteobacteria.
GAGUUUGAUCGUGGCUCAGAACGAACGCUGGCGGCAGGCCUAAUACAUGCAAGUCGAACGGCUCUUCGGAGCAGUGGCGGACGGGUGAGUAACGCGUGGGAACGUGCCCUUUGGUUCGGAACAACACAGGGAAACUUGUGCGUAAUACCGGAUGUGCCCUUCGGGGAAAGAUUUAUCGCCAUUGGAGCGGCCCGCGUUGGAUUAGCUAGUUGGUGGGGUAAAAGCCCACCAAGGCGACGAUCCAUAGCUGGUCUGAGAGGAUGAUCAGCCACACUGGGACUGAGACACGGCCCAGACUCCUACGGGAGGCAGCAGUAGGGAAUCUUGCGCAAUGGGCGAAAGCCUGACGCAGCCAUGCCGCGUGAAUGAUGAAGGUCUUAGGAUUGUAAAAUUCUUUCACCGGGAAGAUAAUGACGGUACCCGGAGAAGAAGCCCCGGC